Molecule: ribosomal RNA, 490 nt
Filed under: uncultured bacterium
Lineage: Bacteria
Description: bacterial SSU rRNA
Rfam family: Bacterial small subunit ribosomal RNA
Source: RNAcentral
GAUGAACGCUAGCGGGAGGCUUAACACAUGCAAGUCGAGGGGCAGCACGUCCCGACGUAAGUCGGGAUGGUGGCGACCGGCGCACGGGUGAGUAACGCGUAUGUAACCUACCUUGUACAGGGGAAUAACUCGGAGAAAUUCGGACUAAUACCCCAUAAUGAUAUUGAGAGGCAUCUUUUGAUAUUUAAGGUUUCGACGGUACAAGAUGGGCAUGCGUAACAUUAGCUAGUUGGUAGGGUAACGGCCUACCAAGGCUACGAUGUUUAGGGGUCCUGAGAGGGUGAUCCCCCCACAUUGGUACUGAGACACGGACCAAACUCCUACGGGAGGCAGCAGUGAGGAAUAUUGGUCAAUGGGCGAGAGCCUGAACCAGCCAAGUCGCGUGAAGGAAGAAGGAUCUAUGGUUCGUAAACUUCUUUUGCAGGGGAAUAAGUGCAGGACGUGUCCUGUUUUGUAUGUACCCUGAGAAUAAGGAUCGGCUAACUCCGUG